RNAcentral lists this ribosomal RNA (408 nucleotides) under bacterium enrichment culture clone ALO1_GLFRUDD03F2J21. RNAcentral describes it as "bacterial SSU rRNA". It matches the Rfam family "Bacterial small subunit ribosomal RNA", at positions 9 to 417 of the family's 1533-position model. The record is from RNAcentral.
GAGUUUGAUCGUGGCUCAGAUUGAACGCUGGCGGCAUGCCUUACACAUGCAAGUCGAACGGCAGCACGGGAGCUUGCUCCUGGUGGCGAGUGGCGAACGGGUGAGUAAUGCAUCGGAACGUAUCCUGGAGUGGGGGAUAACGUAGCGAAAGUUACGCUAAUACCGCAUAUUCUGUGAGCAGGAAAGCGGGGGACCUUCGGGCCUCGCGCUCUUGGAGUGGCCGAUGUCGGAUUAGCUAGUUGGUGAGGUAAAGGCUCACCAAGGCGACGAUCCGUAGCAGGUCUGAGAGGAUGAUCCGCCACACUGGAACUGAGACACGGUCCAGACUCCUACGGGAGGCAGCAGUGGGGAAUUUUGGACAAUGGGGGCAACCCUGAUCCAGCCAUGCCGCGUGAGUGAAGAAGGCCU